CUAACAGUCCUGGAGACUGAAGUUCCUCUUUAUCCCCAGAACAGGUGCUGCUGGGGCAACCACAUGCAAGCUUCCCUGGCAAUGUGUCUCUCUCCUGCAGCUGUCCCGUCUCUAGAGGUGGGGGAGAGAAUUCAGUCCUUGUUUUGCUUCAGUCUUUGAUCUCU
Molecule: small RNA, 164 nt
Filed under: Chrysemys picta bellii (western painted turtle)
Lineage: Eukaryota; Metazoa; Chordata; Testudines; Emydidae
Description: TUC338 (ENSCPBG00000015798.1)
Source: RNAcentral